RNAcentral lists this ribosomal RNA (445 nucleotides) under uncultured bacterium. RNAcentral's name for it is "partial 16S ribosomal RNA". It matches the Rfam family "Bacterial small subunit ribosomal RNA", at positions 354 to 796 of the family's 1533-position model. The record is from RNAcentral.
GUGAGGAAUAUUGCGCAAUGGAGGCAACUCUGACGCAGCCAUGCCGCGUGCAGGAAGAAGGCGCUACGCGUUGUAAACUGCUUUUAACCGGGAAGAAACCCCAGGACGUGUCCUGGGUUGACGGUACCGGAGGAAUAAGCACCGGCUAACUUCGUGCCAGCAGCCGCGGUAAUACGAAGGGUGCAAGCGUUAUCCGGAGUCAUUGGGUUUAAAGGGUGCGUAGGCGGAGCGUUAAGUCAGUGGUGAAAUCCUGCAGCUUAACUGUAGACUUGCCAUUGAUACUGGCGCUCUUGAGUGCGCUUGAAGUGGGCGGAAUGUGCCGUGUAGCGGUGAAAUGCUUAGAUAUGGCACAGAACACCAAUUGCGAAGGCAGCUCACUAAGGCGAUACUGACGCUGAGGCACGAAAGCGUGGGGAUCGAACAGGAUUAGAAACCCGUGUAGUCC